AUUGAACGCUGGCGGCAGGCCUAACACAUGCAAGUCGAGCGGAGCGGCCGACGGGUGAGUAAUGCCUAGGAAUCUGCCUGGCAGUGGGGGAUAACGUACGGAAACGGGCGCUAAUACCGCACACUAUCAGUUGAGCCUGGGUGGGAUUAGCUAGUUGGUGGGGUAAAUGCCUACCAAGGCGACGAUCCGUAACUGGUCUGAGAGGGGGAUCAGGCACACUGGAACUGAGACACGGUCCAGACUCCUACGGGAGGCAGCAGUGGGGAAGAUUGGACAAUGGGCGAAAGCCUGAUCCAGCCAUGCCGCGUGUGUGAAGAAGGUCUUCGGAUUGUAAAGCACUUUCAGUUGGGAGGCGUUACCAGCAGAAGAAGCACCGGCUAACUUCGUGCCAGCAGCCGCGGUAAUAC
RNAcentral lists this ribosomal RNA (407 nucleotides) under uncultured bacterium. RNAcentral describes it as "partial 16S ribosomal RNA". It matches the Rfam family "Bacterial small subunit ribosomal RNA", at positions 30 to 526 of the family's 1533-position model. The record is from RNAcentral.